GAGGAAUAUUGGUCAAUGGGCGAGAGCCUGAACCAGCCAAGUCGCGUGAAGGAUGACUGUCUUAUGGAUUGUAAACUUCUUUUAUACGGGAAUAACAAGAGUCACGUGUGACUCCCUGCAUGUACCGUAUGAAUAAGCAUCGGCUAACUCCGUGCCAGCAGCCGCGGUAAUACGGAGGAUGCGAGCGUUAUCCGGAUUUAUUGGGUUUAAAGGGUGCGUAGGCGGCCUGUUAAGUCAGCGGUGAAAUCUAGGAGCUUAACUCCUAAAUUGCCAUUGAUACUGGCGGGCUUGAGUGUAGAUGAGGUAGGCGGAAUGCGUGGUGUAGCGGUGGAAUGCAUAGAUAUCACGCAGAACUCCGGUUGCGAAGGCAGCUUACUAAGGUACAACCGACGCUGAAGCACGAAAGCGUGGGUAUCAAACAGGAUUAGAUACCCUGGUAGUCCACGCAGUAAACGAUGAUAACUGGGCGUAUGCGAUAUACAGUAUGCUCCUAAGCGAAAGCGUUAAGUUAUCCACCUGGGGAGUACGCCGGCAACGGUG
Molecule: ribosomal RNA, 540 nt
Filed under: uncultured bacterium
Lineage: Bacteria
Description: bacterial SSU rRNA
Rfam family: Bacterial small subunit ribosomal RNA
Source: RNAcentral